CGCCUCUUGACUAACUAUAAGAGACCCAGCCUGCCCACUGAAACUUUAUUUAACGGCCGCGGUACCCUAACCGUGCUAAGGUAGCACAAUCACUCGUCCUCUAAAUAGGGACUAGUAUCAACGGCACCACGAAGACUAUACUGUCUCCUUUCUACAAUCAGUGAAACUGAUCUCCCCGUGAAAAAGCGAGGAUUAUAUUAUAAGACGAGAAGACCCCAUGAAGCUUCAAACUAAAUACCAACUGCCACCUAAAAACCACUAGAGGCUAUGCAGACCUGACUAUCAAAUUUUGGUUGGGGCAACCGCGGAGCAAAAUAAAACCUCCACAACAUAUUUAAACUGGCCUGCUACCACGUAAUUCACGAACAACACUUCUAAAAAUCAAUACAUUGCCCCCUGAUCCAAGUCUAAUCUAUAUGCCAGUCUUGAUCUAAGAACCAAGUUACUCUGGGGAUAACAGCGCAAUCUAUUUCAAGAGUCCCUAUCGACAAAUAGGUUUACGACCUCGAUGUUGGAUCAGGGUACCCCAGUGGUGCAGUCGCCACUAACGGUUCGUUUGUUCAACGAUUCAAACCCCU
Molecule: ribosomal RNA, 578 nt
Filed under: Arthroleptis sp. A DGM-2017
Lineage: Eukaryota; Metazoa; Chordata; Amphibia; Anura; Arthroleptidae
Description: partial 16S ribosomal RNA
Rfam family: Bacterial large subunit ribosomal RNA
Source: RNAcentral